Tigriopus californicus is the source of this 352-nucleotide long non-coding RNA. RefSeq lists it as uncharacterized. The record is from RefSeq and is a predicted model, not a curated record. NCBI's taxonomy places the organism in Eukaryota, Metazoa, Arthropoda, Copepoda, Harpacticoida, Harpacticidae. The transcript is spliced from 3 exons.
UGGGACGUGGAAGGGAAAGCAAGCUUUCGGACUUGGCCAAUUGCAGAUUCCUCUCCCGUAUUGUCAUUGCUGGGAUAACUAUAAUCGCCAUUGUCUCCGUUCUUUAUGGACAAAUACCUUACACUAAGCCGAAGUAUACUAUAACCUCGAUGGAAAGAAGCGGGAAUAAUUCCCCUACACAAGAAGAGCAGUCGAGAGGAACUAAGCAACUACAGCCCCAUAGCCCUGCUGCCAAUUGCCUCAAAGGUCCUCGAAUCUAUGGAACCCUUACCCUAACAUUGAUGCCAAAGAAGAAAUUCCCAUUGCCUCCCACGUGAUCUCGAAAGAGUUGAAUCAAACUACACACAUUGAA